UUGCCUACGGGGGGCAGCAGUGGGGAAUAUUGGGCAAUGGGCGCAAGCCUGACCCAGCAACGCCGCGUGAAGGAAGAAGGCUUUCGGGUUGUAAACUUCUUUUCUGGGGGACGAACAAAUGACGGUACCCCAGGAAUAAGCCACGGCUAACUACGUGCCAGCAGCCGCGGUAAUACGUAGGUGGCAAGCGUUAUCCGGAUUUACUGGGUGUAAAGGGCGUGUAGGCGGGACUGCAAGUCAGAUGUGAAAAUUAUGGGCUCAACCCAUAACCUGCAUUUGAAACUGUAGUUCUUGAGUACUGGAGG
This 305-nucleotide ribosomal RNA is filed under the name uncultured bacterium. Its description in RNAcentral is "bacterial SSU rRNA". It matches the Rfam family "Bacterial small subunit ribosomal RNA", at positions 335 to 655 of the family's 1533-position model. The record is from RNAcentral.